Molecule: unclassified non-coding RNA, 256 nt
Filed under: Hevea brasiliensis (rubber tree)
Lineage: Eukaryota; Viridiplantae; Streptophyta; Magnoliopsida; Malpighiales; Euphorbiaceae
Source: RNAcentral
GGUUGAUCCAAAAAGAAACGGACAUGGAUCAUGAGAAUGUUGCAGCGCCAUUGGGGAAUGAUGGUGGCCAAAGGGAAGAACAAGGAUAAGAUAUGCCAUUCAGUGGACAAGAAUGGCUAUGAUGCUUGACAAGGUUGCAGCAGAACACUUAUCCAGUCGUUUACCCUAAAUAACACGACCAAGCAAUUCGACUAGAGCAUGAAGAUUGUAUAAAUCAAAUCACCUUUGCAUGCGAUAAGCCACUCAUGGAGGGUUA